GAUGUGGCUGUGAUGUCAUGUCAACCAGGCCUUUUGAUUUGUGCAUGUGUCUUCACUCAGGAUGUGGCUGUGAUGUCAUGUCAAUCAGGCCUUUUGAUUUGAACAUAUGGAUUAGGUUUAGGUUUGUAGCCUAGGAUACCAUUUUAAUUAUUUUAAUUAAUGGAUCAUGUCUUUAGCGGUCAUUCUCAAUGAUCAGUGCUUUACUUUCUUUUUUUUGCUGCACAGCAGUUUCUGAAUUUACAAUGAACCUUUACUGUCCACGUUUUUCUGUGCCUUUUUGAGUUGAACAUUUGAAAAGUUGUUGUGUGUGUAGUAGGCCCUCCCCCUGAAAAGAUUUAGAUGCACUACUGUUCCACUGGAGGUCAUAAGAAUUAGUUCUGAUUGGGUAGUUCCAUCUGUACCACAGAAUUAGUUCUGAUUGGGUAGUUCCAUCUGUACCACAGAAUUAGUUCUGAUUGGGUAGUUCCAUCUGUACCACAGAAUUAGUUCUGAUUGGGUAGUUCCAUCUGUACCACAGAAUUAGUUCUGAUUGGGUAGUUCCAUCUGUACCACAGAAUUAGUUCUGAUUGGGUAGUUCCAUCUGUACCACAGAAUUAGUUCUGAUUGGGUAGUUCCAUCUGUACCACAGAAUUAGUUCUGAUUGGGUAGUUCCAUCUGUACCACAGAAUUAGUUCUGAUUGGGUAGUUCCAUCUGUACCACAGAAUUAGUUCUGAUUGGGUAGUUCCAUCUGUACCACAGAAUUAGUUCUGAUUGGGUAGUUCCAUCUGUACCUGUAGGCUACUUGAUUUAAUGUAUUAUAUAUGUUGUUGCUUUGGUCUCACUAAUAAAUAAUAAUAAUAAUAAUGAUGAAUAAUAAUAAAUAUGUUGAAAUGGAA
Long non-coding RNA from Oncorhynchus nerka (sockeye salmon), 876 nucleotides. RefSeq lists it as uncharacterized. The transcript is spliced from 2 exons. The record is from RefSeq and is a predicted model, not a curated record. Lineage: Eukaryota; Metazoa; Chordata; Actinopteri; Salmoniformes; Salmonidae.